RNAcentral lists this ribosomal RNA (460 nucleotides) under uncultured bacterium. Its description in RNAcentral is "partial 16S ribosomal RNA". It matches the Rfam family "Bacterial small subunit ribosomal RNA", at positions 338 to 795 of the family's 1533-position model. The record is from RNAcentral.
CCUACGGGAGGCAGCAGUGAGGAAUAUUGGUCAAUGGACGAGAGUCUGAACCAGCCAAGUAGCGUGAAGGAUGACUGCCCUAUGGGUUGUAAACUUCUUUUAUAUGGGAAUAAAAUGUUCCACGUGUGGGAUUUUGUAUGUACCAUAUGAAUAAGGAUCGGCUAACACCGUGCCAGCAGCCGCGGUAAUACGGAUGAUCCGAGCGUUAUCCGGAUUUAUUUGGUUUAAAGGGAGCGUAGGUGGAUUGUUAAGUCAGUUGUGAAAGUUUGCGGCUCAACCGUAAAAUUGCAGUUGAAACUGGCAGUCUUGAGUACAGUAGAGGUGGGCGGAAUUCGUGGUGUAGCGGUGAAAUGCUUAGAUAUCACGAAGAACUCCGAUUGCGAAGGCAGCUCACUGGACUGCAACUGACACUGAGGCUCGAAAGUGUGGGUAUCAAACAGGAUUAGAUACCCGAGUAGUC